Molecule: RNA transcript, 3223 nt
Organism: Helianthus annuus (common sunflower)
Lineage: Eukaryota; Viridiplantae; Streptophyta; Magnoliopsida; Asterales; Asteraceae
Exons: 11
Source: RefSeq, a predicted model, not a curated record
GAUGAUAAGUUAAUAUAUACUCUAUAAUCUAUCUCUUAUACUAAAGCAAAAUAAUGGCUGACUAUUUAAUUUGAUGAGGCUAUUCUCUCUAGCCAGAGAAUUGGGAAUUUAGACGCCAUCUCUUAAUUCUCCUUCAAAUCAUAUACCGCCUCCCAUAAAUUCUCUCCAUCAGUUUCAAUCUUUCCAUAGUUAUGAAAUCCUUCUCUUGCAGGUCCUAUAAUCAAAUUAUAAACCCUCAAUCUUUCCCAUGUUUUGUUUUUCCACGGGCUACAACCUCUGUAUCUGCUUCAUCUUUCAAAAUUGAUUGAGCCCUAAACAUGAGAGAAUCACAGCAUCUUCUGAUGAAAAAACCCCUAAAUCUUCAUACGAGCUUAAUCAACGCCGCCACCACCACCUGUAUGCGUGAUUCUUUCAAGGGUUUGCAUCUCUUUCUGUUGGAACCCUUAAUCAGUCGUCGGUUUCUCAAUCGCAACAGAUAUGUUUCAGAUUUUUUUAGUUUUUUUUCUUUUGAUUCAAAUUGUUACUCGCCUCAUUCAAGUUCGCAUUUUUUUUGUAUUAUUUCCCCUACCCUGUUUGAGUGAUCCUAUUAAUUUUAGAUUAGUUAGCAUAGAUGAUACAUCUAUGUCGUUUUGUUGAAGAUUUAAACGAGUAUGAUUGAUAAAAACUGAUUGAAUUGAUAAUAUAGCAAGAAUUAUAACCAAUAAUCUAUUUUGCAGUUAAAUUACAGGGUCUUUAUUGACACCAUUGGUAGAAGAUUUGGAAUUAAAAAAAGAAGAAAAAAUCAAACAAUUUAAAGAUAUAAAGAGUCAAAUUGAAAAAAAAAAUAAUGGUGAAAUUUCUGGAUUGAGUUAAUUUGCAGAUACAUGUAAUCUGGAUUGGAUUGAUGAAGAGCAAUCGAUGUCAUAAUAAUAACUUUGACUCGCAGUUGAUACGUUUUGGUACGAUUGGAUUGGAUUGGAUUGAUGAAGAGCAAUUUCUCUAACUACAAUACUCCCAAACAUAUAUAUUUAAUAAUCAGUUUUGAAGUGUAUUGACAACGAGUUUAUAAAGUUCCAUUAUUUAAUAUAUGUCAAGCCUUCUCCAAUUGGUCGGUCAGUAAUGUUUAUUGGUUAAUAACUAAUAUGAAAUGGCCGUUUCUGUUAUGCAGGGACGCAUGUCAAACAGGAGGCGCAACAGUGAAAGAAAAAGAUCCAACGGUUGUUGAAUGCUGCAGUUACCGGAAACCUCGAUUUCUUGAAGAAGAAAGAGAGAGAUGGCGGAAGAGGUGGUGGCGUUGAAGGAGAUGUAUAACGAGGAAGAAGUGAGGAAGAUUUAUGGGUUUAAGAUUAGCAGUGAUGGGUAUGCGGAGGUCACAUGUGGAUGCCCUAGCUACUGUUUAAAAUGUAAAGCCAAAUAUCAAGUUUGUGAGAUGCAGGGCACUUUUUAUGACAACAAGAUAUUACAUAUAUCUGAAGUCGACAUAAGAGAGACCAAAAUGAUAGGCGACAGUCCUUUAAUUAUUAUCGGUAUGGUGUUGGUGACUUGGAUUAGAAAGAAGUCGAGAAACAGAGUAGUUAAUUGAUUUGAAUGGUUCAGUUUUGUAGAAAAUUGCUAAAAGUGGAGGGUACCGAUGAAGUUCAGGCGGACCUACCACUAGAACUCUUCGCUUUUGAUUGCAAGCAACAAGGGAAGUUUUUUUCUUUUGAUGUUUUGUCUUCCAUACCUGGAUAAUCUUGAAUUAAUAAACAAAGAAAAUGUUUUCAUGUUUUUCCGAUUAUGAUUCUGAAAUCGCAGUUCGUGUUUCAAUAUCACCAUCCAUCCUUAUUCAGCCGUAUCCAAACCCUAAUUCUCAUCUAGGCCUCGCUUUGAAGCUUCUAAUAUUAUAAUAAUAUGCAAGCUAGGUGAAUGGUAAAAGUUUGUUUUUAACUUAUACAAUUUGUAUUUCUUGAAAAUCUUGAAUCACAUGAAGGUUAAAGAUUUAGGAUAUGUUGCGGGGUACAAAUGUUCAUGCAUUGUGUACAACUUUUUUGAUUGAUCUGUUGCAUAUAAAUGGAUUUGAUUAUUGAUAUCUUUUGAUAUUUAGGGACAAGAUAAACAUGAGUUGGAGAGCUUAGUAAGGUGUGAUUCUUGGAAAUGUACACUUGAGCUGCAGAGCUUACUUUUAUGUUUAUGUAAUGUGAUUGGUGUAGAAAAGCAUGUUAAAAAGGGAAGAGAAAGGCAGUAGUUUUAUAUAAUAUUCAAGUUUUGUUUGAAUGUAUCAAUAGAUAAUUUUUGGCCUUUUUUUAAAAAAAAAAAUUUCAUUUUAAUAAUUAUUGGUUUUAGACCCUGUAGAAGGUGUUUUUAAGAGUUCAAAGACAACCAUUUGUUGAAGAGGAUAUAGAAACUGAAAAUCAUCUCAACUAUACAGGUACCUGGCUUUCAAACUGAUGUGAUCGAUUAUCUGAAGCUUUUGCAAAAAACUGUUGUUUGUGCUGGAUAAGUCCUUUGAGUUCUAUGAUGCAAAUAUAGAAGUUAAGGAUUGAUAGUGUUUGAGUUAGAAAUUCAAGAUUAUAUUGAGUUGUUAUUGAUGUUAUUAGUCUCAACUAAAGUUCGUUCAUUAUAUUGGAAUGUAAAUUGUGAAAUCCGUCCUCAAGGCCUACAUCAGAGGAGAAACCGAGGUACUGGAGAAAUAUUGUUCCCCUGAAAUAAUUGAGAGAUGUAAAGCCGAGUAUCAAGUUUGUGAGAUGCAGGGCACUUUUUAUGACAACAAGAUAUUACAUAUAUCUGAAGUCGACAUAAGAGAGACCAAAAUGAUGGGCGACAGUCCUUUAAUUAUUGUCGGGUUUCAUACAAAACAGGUGUAUUAUGUAUGAGAUAGACUUGGUGAAAUAACAGAAGGAGGCAAGGAUACUAUCCACACAGUUCAUUAUUUGUGGGCGAUGCAGCUUACGGAGGCAGAAGAAGGUUCUCAUAUGCCAGUUUGGAAGCUUAGAGAUAUGCAACAAGUUGGGGUCCGGGCGCUCAUUUGAUCAUGAAAUUGGUUCGAUAAGGUUUUUUACCCUUCAUUGCAUUUAAUCAUUUCGGUUGCUGGAAAAAAAUUUGGUUUUAGAUAUAUAUUUGUUUAACUUCGUGCUGAUUAAAGAAGGAAUGAAAUGGAACAUGAGGUCCUGCAUCUGUUUUUUUUUUAUAAUUAUCAUCCAUUGUAAUGGAUUUUGACUUGAGCAGUUUCUUCAUGAAACGUAGUAGCAAAAUAAUAAUGUCAAAU